CUUCAUGCCACAUCCUCGCGACUAAUGACAGAACUUACCCCCUUAAGUACUCUCAUUAGCCGCGCGAACCUCUGUAACCGAAGAGCCUUACCAAAAACCACCAUCAGCAUUCUUAUGCUGUUACAUAAUGAUGGCUUUUCAGAAGAAAAGGGGCCAUAUAUGGCCCCUUUC
Molecule: small RNA, 171 nt
Filed under: Photorhabdus asymbiotica
Lineage: Bacteria; Pseudomonadati; Pseudomonadota; Gammaproteobacteria; Enterobacterales; Morganellaceae
Rfam family: SraG RNA
About the family: This RNA was discovered in E. coli during a large scale screen.
Source: RNAcentral